This 429-nucleotide ribosomal RNA is filed under the name Verrucomicrobiota bacterium. RNAcentral describes it as "Verrucomicrobia bacterium partial 16S ribosomal RNA". It matches the Rfam family "Bacterial small subunit ribosomal RNA", at positions 355 to 776 of the family's 1533-position model. The record is from RNAcentral. Lineage: Bacteria; Pseudomonadati; Verrucomicrobiota.
UAGGGAAUCUUCCGCAAUGGACGAAAGUCUGACGGAGCAACGCCGCGUGAGUGAAGAAGGAUUUCGGUUCGUAAAACUCUGUUGUUAGGGAAGAAAAAAUGUAUAGUAACUAUAUACAAAAGAGACGGUACCUAACCAGAAAGCCACGGCUAACUACGUGCCAGCAGCCGCGGUAAUACGUAGGUGGCAAGCGUUGUCCGGAAUUAUUGGGCGUAAAGCGCGCGCAGAUGGUUUAGAAAGUCUGAUGUGAAAGCCCACGGCUCAACCGUGGAGGGUCAUUGGAAACUAAUAAACUUGAGUGCAGGAGAGAAAAGUGGAAUUCCUAGUGUAGCGGUGAAAUGCGUAGAGAUUAGGAGGAACACCGGUGGCGAAAGCGGCUUUUUGGCCUGCAACUGACACUGAGGCGCGAAAGCGUGGGGAGCAAACAGG